RNAcentral lists this transfer RNA (76 nucleotides) under Clostridia bacterium. Its description in RNAcentral is "tRNA-Lys". It matches the Rfam family "tRNA". From Rfam's summary of the family: Transfer RNA (tRNA) molecules are approximately 80 nucleotides in length. Their secondary structure includes four short double-helical elements and three loops (D, anti-codon, and T loops). Lineage: Bacteria; Bacillati; Bacillota; Clostridia. The record is from RNAcentral.
GCGCCAUUAGCUCAUUUGGUAGAGCAUUCGACUCUUAAUCGACAGGUGCGGGGUUCGACUCCCCGAUGGCGCACCA